CAUUAGUCCGACAAACCAUUACUCCGACAGCCCAUUAUUCCGACAAUGCAUUUUUCUUAUGUGUAUGGGUAAAUUUUCUCUAAAAAGACCAACUCCGUUCUCUGUAAUAUUUGUGGUUGUCCGUUUUGAUCCCAAUUAUUCUUUCCAUGCGGGAUAUAAGUCCCAGUAUAUUGGAGUUGAUACACAUGCUUAUUGCAACUGCUCAGUCCUUACCCUGGUCCCUCUUUCGUUUUACGUGUCUGGGUAUUUUAUUUUUCUUUACAUUUCAUCGUUUGUGUGUCCACUGUCAGUCUGUGCUGUUCUAGUUCGCUGUGUUUUUUGUGUGUGUCUUGAUCUACCUUCUUUCACUAGAUCGUCGGUUACCCCCUUU
RNAcentral lists this long non-coding RNA (370 nucleotides) under Mytilus galloprovincialis (Mediterranean mussel). The record is from RNAcentral. Lineage: Eukaryota; Metazoa; Mollusca; Bivalvia; Mytilida; Mytilidae.